UCACGAAUUUUUGAACGCACAUUGCGCCCGGUGGUAUUCCGCCGGGCAUGCCUGUUCGAGCGUCAUUUAAACCAAUCCAGCCUCGUGCUUGGGUCUUGGGCCUUUCGCCUCUGGGCGGGCCUCAAAAUCAGUGGCGGUGCCUUCUGGCUCUAAGCGUAGUAAUACUCCUCGCUAUAGACGUUAGGUGGUAUCUUGCCAACAACCCCCAAUUUUUUAAGGUUGACCUCGGAUCAGGUAGGGAUACCCGCUGAACUUAAG
Molecule: unclassified non-coding RNA, 258 nt
Filed under: uncultured Leotiomycetes
Lineage: Eukaryota; Fungi; Ascomycota; Leotiomycetes
Description: sequence contains 5.8S rRNA gene
Rfam family: 5.8S ribosomal RNA (bases 1-65)
Source: RNAcentral